UCUCAGUUCGGAUUGUAGGCUGAAACUCGCCUACAUGAAGCUGGAGUUGCUAGUAAUCGCGAAUCAGCAUGUCGCGGUGAAUACGUUCCCGGGCCUUGUACACACCGCCCGUCACGCCAUGGAAGUUGGGGGUGCCCAAAGCCGGCAAGCAAAUAUGCUGUCUAAGGCAAAACCAAUGACUGGGGUGAAGUCGUAACAAGGUACC
This 205-nucleotide ribosomal RNA is filed under the name uncultured bacterium. RNAcentral describes it as "partial 16S ribosomal RNA". It matches the Rfam family "Bacterial small subunit ribosomal RNA", at positions 1286 to 1500 of the family's 1533-position model. The record is from RNAcentral.